UGGGGUAUCGCCAAGCGGUAAGGCGCCGGAUUCUGAUUCCGGCAUUCCGAGGUUCGAAUCCUCGUACCCCAGCCA
RNAcentral lists this transfer RNA (75 nucleotides) under Enterobacter cloacae. RNAcentral's name for it is "tRNA-Gln". It matches the Rfam family "tRNA". Rfam says of the family: Transfer RNA (tRNA) molecules are approximately 80 nucleotides in length. Their secondary structure includes four short double-helical elements and three loops (D, anti-codon, and T loops). Further hydrogen bonds mediate the characteristic L-shaped molecular structure. tRNAs have two regions of fundamental functional importance: the anti-codon, which is responsible for specific mRNA codon recognition, and the 3' end, to which the tRNAs corresponding amino acid is attached (by aminoacyl-tRNA synthetases). tRNAs cope with the degeneracy of the genetic code in two manners: having more than one tRNA (with a specific anti-codon) for a particular amino acid; and 'wobble' base-pairing, i.e. permitting non-standard base-pairing at the 3rd anti-codon position. Lineage: Bacteria; Pseudomonadati; Pseudomonadota; Gammaproteobacteria; Enterobacterales; Enterobacteriaceae. RNAcentral also lists the same sequence under 2 other names. The record is from RNAcentral.